CCUACGGGGGGCAGCAGGCGCGAAAACUUUACAAUGCGGGCAACCGUGAUAAGGAAACCCCGAGUGCCAGCAUAGGCUGGCUGUCCACCAGUGUAAACAGCUGGUGAAGAAAGGGCCGGGCAAGACCGGUGCCAGCCGCCGCGGUAAUACCGGCGGCUCGAGUGGUGGCCGCUAUUACUGGGCUUAAAGGGUCCGUAGCUGGAUUUACAAGUCCCUUGAGAAAUCCGCCGGCUUAACUGGCGGGCGUUCAGGGGAAACUGUAAUUCUAGGGACCGGGAGAGGUGAGAGGUACUGCCGGGGUAGGAGUGAAAUCCUGUAAUCCCGGUGGGACCACCAAUGGCGAAGGCAUCUCACCAGAACGGGUCCGACAGUGAGGGACGAAAGCUGGGGGAGCAAACCGGAUUAGAUACCCCCGUAGUCC
This 421-nucleotide ribosomal RNA is filed under the name uncultured Methanospirillum sp. RNAcentral's name for it is "bacterial SSU rRNA". It matches the Rfam family "Archaeal small subunit ribosomal RNA", at positions 322 to 747 of the family's 1478-position model. The record is from RNAcentral. Lineage: Archaea; Methanobacteriati; Methanobacteriota; Methanomicrobia; Methanomicrobiales; Methanospirillaceae.